GCGGGGCUCCCCGCGGCCGGGCCGGGACACCGCGAUGUCGAAGUAGCGCAGGGAGUGGGAGCCUGCGGGGCGGGCGUUGAAUAUUUGAAUGUGACAUUGCAGAAACUGAUUCUUGGUGAGAAGAAUUAUCUCAGUACACAGGCCAGCCCAAGGAGAAAGGUGAAUAUCAUCUUGGUGAAGAUGAAAUGAGCUUGGCCUCAGCUUAGAUCCCAUCAGAGGAUCGCGUAUGACUUCAAGGAUUCCACAGACCACACUUCAAGAAUGACUGUUCGCUCAGUGGUUCCACCACCUGUCUCACAAGUGCCAGGUCCCGAAUUUGAUCCCCAGUACAAAAAAAAAAAAACAACAACAAAAAAACCCGAAAAAACAAUAAUGACUGUUCUGAGUCUCCUGCUUGGCCUUGGACUCUGCUUCCUCUUCACUCUCCAGAAUCCCUUUCUCUGCGCUGCACCGCCUUCCAGAACUUAGUGUCGAGCUCUGCCUCUGGACUCUUCUAGAAGACAAUUGAUGCCCUGAAAACCUGGUUUCUCAGUUCCCUCGUCAGAAGACUGGGGUGGGGAGGAGAGUUAUUUCCCAUUUGGAACAGGAAACAUUUUGGGUCUGAAGGCCCCAGACAUUCACUUCUGACCCGCUUGGAUUUGUUACACAGAACCUUAAUACAUAUUCGUAUCCCAGACAGUGGUGAGCUGUGCAGUUCACAGGAGAAAUAAUCCUGGCUGCUUCACUGCGGAUGGCGUCAGUGAACCGACUCGAGGCCACAAAACAGCAAGAGAUGUGCUGUCCGACAGAACUUUGUGCAGUGAAGAAAUUCUUCUGUAUCUGUGCUGUCUAAUCCGGAGCCCCAGAUGUGGGGCUGUUGGGCACUUGAGAUAUGACUGUGGCUGAGUAGCUGGCUUUGUAUUUAUUUACUUUCAUGGUAUUGGGGGCUGAAUCCAGGCCUUCAGCAUUCUGAGCACACGCAUCCCCAGUCCCUAGAACUUUAAAUUUUCUUUAAUGAAUUUAAAAAACCUUGUGUGGCUAGUGGCUGUCAUAUUUCACAGUGUAUACUCUUAGUUUCCAGUCUCCCAUAAAACAUACUUGUACUGUGGGAAUCUUAGAAUAAAGUGUAUUAAAAGUU
Fukomys damarensis (Damara mole-rat) is the source of this 1117-nucleotide long non-coding RNA. RefSeq lists it as uncharacterized. The record is from RefSeq and is a predicted model, not a curated record. NCBI's taxonomy places the organism in Eukaryota, Metazoa, Chordata, Mammalia, Rodentia, Bathyergidae. The transcript has 2 exons.